This 119-nucleotide ribosomal RNA is filed under the name Gadus morhua (Atlantic cod). Lineage: Eukaryota; Metazoa; Chordata; Actinopteri; Gadiformes; Gadidae. The record is from RNAcentral.
GCUUACGGCCAUACCACCUUAGGCACGCCCGAUCUCGUCUGAUCUUGGAAGCUAAGCAGGGUCGGGCCGGGUUAGUACUUGGAUGGGUGACCGCCUGGGAAUACCAGGUGCUGUAAGCA